RNAcentral lists this small RNA (123 nucleotides) under Marmota monax (woodchuck). Lineage: Eukaryota; Metazoa; Chordata; Mammalia; Rodentia; Sciuridae. The record is from RNAcentral.
GCCGGGCGUGGUGGUGCACACCUGUAAUCCCAGCAGCUCGGGAGGCUGAGGCAGGAGGAUUGCAAGUUCACCCAGCCUCAACAAAAGCAAGGCCCUAAGCAACUCAGUGAGACCCUGUCUCUA